GACGAACGCUGGCGGCGUGCUUAACACAUGCAAGUCGAACGGAAAGGCCCUGCUUGCAGGGUACUCGAGUGGCGAACGGGUGAGUAACACGUGGGUGAUCUGCCCUGCACUUCGGGAUAAGCUUGGGAAACUGGGUCUAAUACCGGAUAGGAACCAUCUUUAGUGUGGUGGUUGGAAAGUUUUUUCGGUGUAGGAUGAGCUCGCGACCUAUCAGCUUGUUGGUGGGGUAAUGGCCUACCAAGGCGGCGACGGGUAGCCGGCCUGAGAGGGUGUACGGCCACAUUGGGACUGAGAUACGGCCCAGACUCCUACGGGAGGCAGCAGUGGGGAAUAUUGCACAAUGGGCGCAAGCCUGAUGCAGCGACGCCGCGUGGGGGAUGAAGGCCUUCGGGUUGUAAACUCCUUUCGCUAGGGACGAAGCUUUGUUGUGACGGUACCUAGAUAAGAAGCACCGGCUAACUACGUG
RNAcentral lists this ribosomal RNA (466 nucleotides) under uncultured bacterium. Its description in RNAcentral is "partial 16S ribosomal RNA". It matches the Rfam family "Bacterial small subunit ribosomal RNA", at positions 28 to 507 of the family's 1533-position model. The record is from RNAcentral.